GGCGGCGCCGCUAGGCAGCCAGCAGUGCCGCGAGCGCGGGCAGUCCACUGCACCACGGGUUCGAUUCCCGUCGCCGCCA
This 79-nucleotide transfer RNA is filed under the name Mycobacterium sp. Its description in RNAcentral is "tRNA-Arg". Lineage: Bacteria; Bacillati; Actinomycetota; Actinomycetes; Mycobacteriales; Mycobacteriaceae. The record is from RNAcentral.